UACGUAGGUGGCAAGCGUUGUCCGGAUUUACUGGGCGUAAAGAGCGCGCAGGCGGUCGUUCAAGUCGAGUGUGAAAGCCCCCGGCUCAACUGGGGAGGGUCAUUCGAUACUGAUCGACUUGAAGGCAGGAGAGGGAAGUGGAAUUCCCGGUGUAGUGGUGAAAUGCGUAGAUAAUCGGGAGGAACACCAGUGGCGAAGGCGACUUCCUGGCCUGUUCUUGACGCUGAGGCGGCGAAAGCUAGGGGAGCAAACGGG
This 255-nucleotide ribosomal RNA is filed under the name uncultured bacterium. Its description in RNAcentral is "partial 16S ribosomal RNA". It matches the Rfam family "Bacterial small subunit ribosomal RNA", at positions 524 to 776 of the family's 1533-position model. The record is from RNAcentral.